RNAcentral lists this ribosomal RNA (468 nucleotides) under uncultured bacterium. RNAcentral's name for it is "partial 16S ribosomal RNA". It matches the Rfam family "Bacterial small subunit ribosomal RNA", at positions 28 to 507 of the family's 1533-position model. The record is from RNAcentral.
GACGAACGCUGGCGGCGUGCUUAACACAUGCAAGUCGAACGGAAAGGCCCUGCUUUUGUGGGGUGCUCGAGUGGCGAACGGGUGAGUAACACGUGAGUAACCUGCCCUUGACUUUGGGAUAACUUCAGGAAGCUGGGGCUAAUACCGGAUAGGAGCUCCUGCUGCAUGGUGGGGGUUGGAAAGUUUCGGCGGUUGGGGAUGGACUCGCGGCUUAUCAGCUUGUUGGUGGGGUAGUGGCUUACCAAGGCUUUGACGGGUAGCCGGCCUGAGAGGGUGACCGGCCACAUUGGGACUGAGAUACGGCCCAGACUCCUACGGGAGGCAGCAGUGGGGAAUAUUGCACAGUGGGCGGAAGCCUGAUGCAGCAACGCCGCGUGCGGGAUGACGGCCUUCGGGUUGUAAACCGCUUUCGCCUGUGACGAAGCGUGAGUGACGGUAAUGGGUAAAGAAGCACCGGCUAACUACGUG